GAUGAACGCUAGCGGCGGGCCUAAUACAUGCAAGUCGAACGGGAUUGGAGUAGCAAUAUUCCAUGAGAGUGGCGACCGGGUGCGUAACACGUAUGCAACCUACCUAAUACUGGGGUAUAGCCUCUCGAAAGAGAGAUUAAUCCCCCAUAAUACUAUGAAGAGGCAUCUCUUUAUAUUUAAAGCUUCGGCGGUAUUAGAUGGGCAUGCGUCCUAUUAGCUAGUUGGUGAGGUAACGGCUCACCAAGGCUACGAUAGGUAGGGGGUCUGAGAGGAUGAUCCCCCACACUGGUACUGAAACACGGACCAGACUCCUACGGGAGGCAGCAGUAGGGAAUAUUGGUCAAUGGACGAAAGUCUGAACCAGCCACGCCGCGUGGGUGAUGAAGGCCUUCGGGUCGUAAAGCCCUGUCAGGUGGGAAGAAUGUCCCGGGACUGACAGGUUCCGGGAGUGACGGUAUUACCAGAGGAAGGCACCGGCUAACUCCGUGCCAGCAGCCGCGGUAAU
RNAcentral lists this ribosomal RNA (505 nucleotides) under uncultured bacterium. RNAcentral describes it as "bacterial SSU rRNA". It matches the Rfam family "Bacterial small subunit ribosomal RNA", at positions 28 to 524 of the family's 1533-position model. The record is from RNAcentral.